Esox lucius (northern pike) is the source of this 2623-nucleotide long non-coding RNA. RefSeq lists it as uncharacterized. Lineage: Eukaryota; Metazoa; Chordata; Actinopteri; Esociformes; Esocidae. The transcript has 3 exons. The record is from RefSeq and is a predicted model, not a curated record.
CUUGCUAGAUGGACAGAAUGUACUGUACUAAUUGUAUUAUUGGUAGGUAGGGAGGAUCAAGGUACUUUAUAAUUGGUAGGUUGGUAGGGAGGAUGUAGUUACUGCAUUCCUGGUAGGUAGGAUAUAUUUACUGCAUUAUUGGUAGUUCAGACAUAGUUACUGUAUUGCUGGUAGGUAGGAUGUAGUUUAUUACUGGGAAAUAGGGAGAACAUAGUUGCUUUAUUACUGGUAGGUAGGCAGGAUGUAGUAACUUUAUUACUGGUAGGUAGGGAGGAUGUAGUUACUUUAUUUUUGGUAGGUAGGCAUGAUGUAGUUACUUUAUUACUGGUAGGUAGGCAGGAUGUAGUUACUUUAUUACUGGUAGACAGGGAGGAUGUACUUGUUACUGUAUUACUGGUAGGUAGGGAGGAUGUAGUUACUGUAUUACUGGUAGGUAGGAAGGAUGUUGUUACUUUAUUACUGGUAGACAGGGAGGAUGUAGUUACUUUAUUACUGGUAGGUAGGCAGGAUGUAGUUACUUUUACUGGUAGGUAGGCAGGAUGAAGUUACUUUAUUACUGGUAGACAGGGAGGAUGUAGUUACUUUAUUACUGGUGGACAGGGAAGAUGUAGUCACUUUAUCACUGGUGGACAGGGAAGAUGUAGUUACUUUAUUACUGGUAGACAGGGAGGAUGUAGUUACAUUAUUACUGGUAGGUAGGCAGGAUGUAGUUACUUUAUUACUGGUAGACAGGGAGGAUGUACUAGUUACUGUAUUACUGAUGGUGUCAGGAGUGAGGAUGACUGGAGUUUGUCGGUGUUGUAGGGAGACUGACACUAUUAACUAAUAAUAGUGCUUACUGGCCUCUUACUGUCUACUCUAUGCAGGGAACAUGGUCUCCAGACCAGUCUUCUGGGUUGUUGUUUUAACCAGGGUGCAUGACUGAGAUAUGUAGUUUAUUGGUGAGAUUUGUUUUGUGUUUUGUUUUUCAAUUGCUUACAAACUAUAAUCAAAACUUUACCAUAAUAAGAAAAACCUGACACUCAAGGAGCAGAACACCGGCCUAUAUUUGCACAAUUGUAAGCAGAUUGUCAGCUUCACACUUUUUGCAUAACAUUACAGUGAUUACACAAACUAAACACACUUGUAUGCAUUUGACACAGAAAUGUAUCAUGAUGUCAUUUCCUUGCAAUUUCAAAGCAAAGGCUUUCAAAUGAACACACCCAUUAACCAAUUGGUUAAACACAGCCACCAGGUGUGCACACACACUGGUGCUUAAUUGUAGACACACCAAUCAGGUUUAAGCACCAUAAAAAGGCAACAGGUAAGUUCACCUGUCUUCAAAUAUAAUGGAUGGUGUCAGAGGAAGAGGGAGAGUGCGGAUGAGAGGGGUAAUCCGGAGAGAACAAGGUGGAGAAAGAGGCCAAGGUAGAGGAAGAGGAAGAAGAAAAGGGAGAGGGAGAGGAAGACCUGGAAUAGUGGUAGGACAUGCAAAAAGAAGAAGACAACCAAAUCUGUGCAACGAAAUUUGUGCUACAAUUGUGGUCAAUGUAAUAAACCAUGGACUAACACUGAGGGAGGCUGGACUGAGAGUACAGCCUAACCUAAGCAGGUACUCAGAGGCAUCAAUACUUCAGACAUUUCGUCAAGAGCACAGGAUUGAACGUCGAGAACACCAAGGAGGGAGGGGCCCCAUAUUCACACGGGAGCAAGAGAGAGAGUUCAUACAUUUUGAGAGUUUUGCAAAUAGACGCGGAGGAAGUCCCACAUGAGUUUAUAUACAUUGAUGAUGCUGGAUUUAGCCUGACAACAGUGAGAAGAAACUUAUGUUGGCCACAGGGCUAUUGUCAAUGUACCUGGGCAACCUGGGGGUAACAUUACCCUUUGUUCUGUCAUUACACAGAACGGGGUCCUCCACCGCCAUGCCAACUUGGGUCCUUACAACACUGACCUCAUUCUUAAAUUUUUAGACAGAUUACACAAUAUUACCACAGCAGGAAACCAAAGGGACCAGAUGCAAUACAUUGUCGUCUGGGACAAUGUAGCUUUCCAUCGAUCUGCUCUGGUCCAAAACUGGUUUCAUCAACACCCACAAUUUACAGUUCAAUCACUUCCACCAUACUCCCCCUUCCUAAACCCCAUCGAGGAGUUCUUCUCAGCAUGGCAGUAGAAGGUUUAUGAUCUCCGGCCCUAUGUCCAGAUGGCCCUCAUUCAAGCUAUGGAGGAAGCAUGUGAUCAAAUUGAAGCAGCAUCCAUACAAGGGUGGAUUCGUCACUCCAUAAAAUUCUUCCCACGUUGCCUUGCAAAUGAAAAUAUAGCCUGUGAUGUUGACGAGGCCCUGUGGCCAGAUCCAGCCAGGCGGAGAGAUGGUUUUUUUGUUUGUUUUUUCAGUACUGAACUGGAUAUGUAUUUUAUGUUACAGUAUUACUGUAAGCUUACAGUACAAUGGUACGUUGUAAUACUGUAUGAAAACUGGAAAUUGUUGUGUUAUGAAUGUUUGGUGGAAAUGUUCAGUAUUGACUAACUAAAUAAAUAUUUUCAUUAGUCUGCACAAUUGGUGUCAUGGGGUGUUGGUGAAUUUUUUUCCACUUUCUCUGUGUAAAUGCUAAGUGUUUAGGUUGAGCACAGGAGUGUUUGACUGAUU